UUUAAAGUGAGCUAAUAUUCAAUAUCCGCUUCAUAGACCAAAUAAAGUUGGUACAUGACAACAAAAGAUACAUAGCCAACCAUGCAUAGAUACCAACUCGCCAUGUUGCCAACAAAAGUAAAGCUAUAUAUACAUACAUAUGUCACUACAUGUGACCGUGCAAUUUCUUCCAGCACGGUCAAAAGCAUCUCUCACUUGUUCAUUUUUUUGCCAACAAAAAGACAUACAAUCAGCCUAGAAGAACUGCAAUACAAAAAAUGAAUUUGUAAUUAAAUAAGUUUAGUUGUGAGAUGAGAAGUCGAAAGCUUGCAAGAAUAGAGAUGGUUAGAAGGAACAUACCGACAGUGCACUAAAGAAAAUUACAAGGCAAAUGCCCUUUCCGAGACC
This 387-nucleotide long non-coding RNA is filed under the name Triticum aestivum (bread wheat). RNAcentral describes it as "long non-coding RNA (TAES_LNC006342)". The record is from RNAcentral. Lineage: Eukaryota; Viridiplantae; Streptophyta; Magnoliopsida; Poales; Poaceae.